AGGAGAGCUUGCUUCAUGUGACGUCACCGAUGACGUGUGAACCACUUCACUGCUUCAUUCAGACCGAGUCAGCUGACUGCUUCGACUUGACUGGCGGAGUUUCAAACAUCUGGUGCGCUUCAGUGUAUUUAAGAUGGCUCAAGGCCCGGUUCACAUCCGGGUUCUACACGUAUUAUACGUUAUUAACAGCUCUCAUUUUUGGAUAUUCGGAGUUUUGGUGGAUUAUUCUGUCAUUAGCAACCAUCUAGGAAGUGUUCCCAAGUGUGGAAUAUUUCGAUUUGGUGCCACCUAACAAGAUGCAGUGUUUGCUUUGCCCGCAGCUGCUGACGUAUAAUAAUAAUAAGUCAUCAAUGCUGAGGCAUUAUUGAGUCAAACACGAGAACACUCAGCCUCCUGCCACCAAUCAAGGAUCCAGAAAGCAAGAGCUUGAUGAAGCUCUUGUGGACUUCAUAGUGAAUGUCUCCCAGCCUUUCUCUGUAUCCAAACCUAAACCACCCAGCCAAACAGUUCCUGGUCACACCAGCCUCCUCUGUUCCCUGUGAAAGAGUAUUUUCCAAAGCUGGAGAAAUUGUCUCAAAAAAAAAAGAAACCGUUUGAGUCCUUCUACUGUGCAGAAAUGACUUUUCUUGAAUAAAAACAC
Girardinichthys multiradiatus is the source of this 640-nucleotide long non-coding RNA. RefSeq lists it as uncharacterized. NCBI's taxonomy places the organism in Eukaryota, Metazoa, Chordata, Actinopteri, Cyprinodontiformes, Goodeidae. The transcript has 3 exons. The record is from RefSeq and is a predicted model, not a curated record.